This 1023-nucleotide long non-coding RNA is filed under the name Homo sapiens (human). Its description in RNAcentral is "HSALNT0244080". Lineage: Eukaryota; Metazoa; Chordata; Mammalia; Primates; Hominidae. The record is from RNAcentral.
CUCCUCCGCCGCCUUUUUCUUUCCUCCCCUUCCUGCGCCCGGCUCUCCUCCCUCUCGCCCUCCUCCGCCUCAGUUCUCCUCCUCUUCUUCCGCUCUUGCCGCCCGGCCUCCUCCUCUCCCGGUCUUCCUUCUCCCACUCCCGCUCUCUCUCUUGUCGACGGGCUCGGAGUCCUGCGCCACCCGUGCCGGGCCGAGAGGAGCCCGCGUCCGGGAGUGGGCUCCACGCGCAGCCCCUGCCCCGGAGCCUCCCGCCCGGUGCUCACCUCCUAACCCCUCAGCACCCGCAGCAGGGAGCCCCUUCCCCAUCCUCAGGACCCCCGGUGUCUCCAGGGCACGACGCCCGUGUUUUAGCUGCCUGUACCAGCUUGAGGUUUCACCUGGCCAAAAUGUCACUUUCAUCACGUGUGCACUAAAAGACCUAGCCCCUAGACCUUCCUACAGGAGGAAGAGAGCGAUUUUUAAAUAAUUAAGCAUUGACCCUUUCCCCUACCUUCUCUUCUUGACCUAUACCUUAUUUCACCUGCGUGUGGUAGAGACUUUUAAUUUGUACGUCGGGCAUUUAUCACCACGUGGGAUGGUUAAAGGACUUGUCUUAGGUAUUUAUCCCGUUAUUCAAUGGCCACCAGAGCGACGAUGUUGAUUAUCAGGCUUUCUUGAUUUUACAAGUCCAGGACCUUAAUUUAGAAAUCAUUUUGCAUCCCAAGCUAAUUACUGCAAUACUGUCAGGUGCAGAGUGCAGCCAGUACGUUUGUAACUUACCAAGUAAAACUGCCUGUGAAAGAGUAGCGGGCAUGGCUAUGCAAAGGACGCAGGUGGGGAUGCACCAGCUAAUCACUCGCUGAAUAUUUAUCAGGUCUGCCUGGAGGCCGCUAAAAUACAUAAGGGAAAUAAUCAUUUCUCAGCGUUUCAUUGGUGUUUUGUUUUAUUUGCCAGAUUCACGAAAUCCCCAAAACGACUUUACGAGCUAAAGAGACCAAGAAAGAGAACACGUUUGAUCCUUCAAUAAAUUUAUGUUGAAAAAAA